AAAUUUGAUUAUCAUAACGAAACGACGCAACGACGAGGAGGAAAAAGACUCCGCUAUGGAGGAAUUUUCCGAAAGACUUUAUUAUGUUCCGAUAAACGUAC
Molecule: long non-coding RNA, 101 nt
Organism: Vespa mandarinia (Asian giant hornet)
Lineage: Eukaryota; Metazoa; Arthropoda; Insecta; Hymenoptera; Vespidae
Source: RefSeq, a predicted model, not a curated record